UUACAGUCAUAUCAAGUUGAAACAUCGGUUCUCAUAGGAUCACUGAAAUUAAGCAAAGUCGAGCCUGGCCAAUGCCUAGAUGGGUGACCGCUUGGAAAUACCAGGUGGUGAA
RNAcentral lists this ribosomal RNA (112 nucleotides) under Acanthosepion pharaonis. The record is from RNAcentral. Lineage: Eukaryota; Metazoa; Mollusca; Cephalopoda; Sepiida; Sepiidae.